Non-coding RNA from Gossypium hirsutum (cotton), 132 nucleotides. Lineage: Eukaryota; Viridiplantae; Streptophyta; Magnoliopsida; Malvales; Malvaceae. The record is from Rfam.
UGUUAAAAAUUAUAUUCUUUUCUAUUAUUAAAAAUUAGCAUGACUGAUAAAAUAACGUGACGUGACACAUGUACCUCGUGUUAAUGUAUAAAAACAAGUUUUUAAUAAUAUAAGUAGAUGAAAUUUUUAUUA